CGUAACACGUAGGCAACCUGCCCGAAAUGGGGGACAACAGCUUGAAAGAGCUGCUAAUACCGCAUGUGGCCAAAGAGUGGCAUCACUUUUUGUCUAAAGCUUUAUGCGCUUUCGGAUGGGCUUGCGGCCUAUCAGGUAGUUGGUGGGGUAAUGGCCUACCAAGCCGACGACGGGUAGCUGGUCUGAGAGGACGAUCAGCCGGAUUGGGACUGAGAUACGGCCCAG
RNAcentral lists this ribosomal RNA (225 nucleotides) under uncultured bacterium. RNAcentral describes it as "partial 16S ribosomal RNA". It matches the Rfam family "Bacterial small subunit ribosomal RNA", at positions 109 to 334 of the family's 1533-position model. The record is from RNAcentral.